UGCAGCAGUGAUAGCAUGUUGAAUGCACUAGUUCCCCCUGGAUCACUGAAGUUAAGCAACGUUGCACGUGGUUGGUAUCGAGAUGGGUGACCAUCUGGGUCAAAUCCCCGGGAUCUAUGGAAC
This 123-nucleotide ribosomal RNA is filed under the name Diaphorina citri (Asian citrus psyllid). The record is from RNAcentral. Lineage: Eukaryota; Metazoa; Arthropoda; Insecta; Hemiptera; Psyllidae.